UACGGAGGGUGCAAACGUUGCUCGGAAUCAUUGGGCGUAAAGCGCACGUAGGUGGUGAGACAAGUCAGGUGUGAAAGCCCUCGGCUUAACCGAGGAAGUGCACUUGAAACUAUCUCGCUGGAGUAUCGAAGAGGAUCGCGGAAUUCCCGGUGUAGAGGUGAAAUUCGUAGAUAUCGGGAGGAACACCAGUGGCGAAGGCGGCGAUCUGGGCGAUAACUGACACUGAGGUGCGAAAGCGUGGGGAGCAAACAGG
Molecule: ribosomal RNA, 253 nt
Filed under: uncultured bacterium
Lineage: Bacteria
Description: partial 16S ribosomal RNA
Rfam family: Bacterial small subunit ribosomal RNA
Source: RNAcentral